RNAcentral lists this ribosomal RNA (232 nucleotides) under uncultured marine eukaryote. RNAcentral describes it as "partial 18S ribosomal RNA". It matches the Rfam family "Eukaryotic small subunit ribosomal RNA", at positions 614 to 849 of the family's 1831-position model. The record is from RNAcentral.
AGAGUGUGCGUAAAAAGCUCGUAGUUGGAUUCUGCUGAAGCAACCGGUCCGCCCUCUGGGUGAGCAUCUGGCUUGUCUUGGGCAUCUUCAUGGGGAACGAAACUGCACUUGACUGUGUGGGUCGGUAGCCAUGAUUUUACUUUGAGGAAAUCAGAGUGUUUCAAGCAAGCAUGCGCCUUGAAUACAUUAGCAUGGAAUAUUUUUAUAGGGCCGUUGUUCUAUUUUGUUGGUU